GGUGGCGCCGGAUCCGGGGCGCGCGCAGGUGGCCCCGCGGCGCCAGAGGUCGGGUUAGGGAUGCGGGGAGAACGUUCCGGGCGGCCUGUCUUCAUCCCUCUGGACCGGCGGGCCGUGCCCCACGGUCCUGGGCCUCCGCGUCCCGCCGCCCGUCCCCCUCCAGCCACAUCCCCCAUCACCGGGUGAAGGAGCCCGGUGUCUCCGAGUGCUUAGGGAAGCAAGCGGAGAAGAAGAAAACCCAGAUCUCGCGUCUGCCUGGAGAAGCAGCAAUAUUUUAACUUGGAAAGGCCAGAACAAGCUGCAGAGGCCCCACACGCAUAUGCAGAUCAUUUGCAAAGUUAUGGCAACCUGGAGCGCAGGCCUCCCUCUCCCUCCCCCCCAGACUCAGGAUACCAGAGCCCGAAGACACCACCCAGGUUAUUUGCUCAUCCCCCUCCCCCUCCACCACCAGGGUCUGGCCAAGGGGUGGGUCUUUGCCGGUUCUUGUCAUUCCCAUCAAAGAUAGCUCCUGUACCAUCAGACUGGAUGGAGGAACAUCUUCCUUGACUAGGGUUUAGCCCUCAAAGCAAUUAGGGGGGCACCCCAAUAACUUCUCAGACCCUGUCUGUACAGUCAUAGCAGUUUACCCUCUCUUGCAUAAUUCCUGCAUGUGUCCAGUCAUUUACCUUGCUCAGCAGCCUUGAGAUAGAGAUGAUUAUUCCCAUUUUAUGGAUGAGGGAACUGAGGCUCAGAGUCAUACAAGUAGGGUAUGUAUGCUGGGCCUCAGACCCAGGCCUAGGGCCCAUGCUCUUAGGCACUGGGAAUCUCGGCUCUCAGCAGGACUGGGACUGUUUUGGUGUGCACUUUGCCAUCUUUCAGCACAGUGGCGCCCAGAGUCCCAGGAAAGGAAAACAAACCUUUGGAGACGGCGCUCACAGGGUCUGAUGGCCUAUGGCCCCAGGAGCCGCCCGGAGAGUGGCUGAAGGGGAAUUCAGGACUCUCCAGAAGCCCGUGAGUGCCUGGCAGGUACAAACACGAGACAGCUGAGAGUUGGCACCCUAGCCGGCUGGCCGUCCUGGGCUCAAGAGAAUGGUCAACACCAGCGGGAAGAUACCGGGCGGAGAGGCAGCCUUUCCCAGAUGUCCUCUCAGCGUUGAAUCUUAAGAAUUCCACUCUCCAUCCUGAGAGCAGCAUUUUACAGCAUUAAGCCAGCUGUGCAGAGCCGAGAGCUCAAUUUCUCCCCAGACGACUUCCUGUCAUAAAAGGGGACGUACGGAUCCAGCUCUCCUUUGGAUGAGUGCCUGAGCCCCCGCUCCCACGGCUGGGGUUUUCUCCAGGCUCCCCGGGCUCUCCGCUGCUCACCGCGUCCCUUGGGCAGUGCUGGACCCAGGGCCCUGGUAAUCGAAGCGCGGGAUGACCUAAGAGCCCAGCCUCUGAGCACAGCAUUUCCCACUGACCUCGCCUAAAGGAUUUUAGAGCAGCGCCUGGCUCAGCACAUAGGUGUGGAAGGAAUCUGAGGCCGGACGUCUGGGUGGCUCAGUGGUUGAGCAUCUGUCUUCAGCUCAGGGCGAUCCUGGGGUUCUGGGAUCGAGUCCCAAGUCGGGCUCCCU
This is a long non-coding RNA of Canis lupus familiaris (dog), 1589 nucleotides long. RefSeq lists it as uncharacterized. Lineage: Eukaryota; Metazoa; Chordata; Mammalia; Carnivora; Canidae. The record is from RefSeq and is a predicted model, not a curated record. The transcript has 4 exons.